This is a non-coding RNA of Myodes glareolus (Bank vole), 4228 nucleotides long. Lineage: Eukaryota; Metazoa; Chordata; Mammalia; Rodentia; Cricetidae. The record is from RefSeq and is a predicted model, not a curated record.
GGUUGCUGGGAAUUGAACUCAGGACCUUUGGAAGAGCAGGCAAUGCUCUUAACCACUGAGCCAUCUCUCCAGCCCCAGGUUUCUGUUCUUGAGGUCCUAACUAACUCAGAGUAGCUUAAGGAGCAUGGUGACCAGGUCCAUGGCUUCUAGACUUUCUUAGGGACAGCCUCUCUGCACCAGCACUCUCUCCUGAGGACAACAGACAUGUAACCAAUAGGCUGUUAGAGUGAUAGAGGCUUGAUCACAAAGGACUUUGCCAUCUCCUGUAACCAGGAAGACUCCCAGUGGAGGAAUUAGGACACCAACCCAGCCUCAAAACCUUCGACCUACAAUUUGUCCUGCCUACAAAGUAUGCUGUGGUAAAGAUGACACAGAAAUUGAAAGUGGAUGACCAAUGUCCUCCCCAGCUUGAGAUCCAUGCCAAGAGGGAGCCCACCCCUGACACUGCCAGGAAAGCUGGAAAGCCAGGAACCAAAAGCUAGAUAGCCAGAGACUUAGGAUAGAGCCAAACAUGACUGACCAAAAAAAUAGUAAAUAAAAUGAUUCCUAGUGAUACUCUGCUAUACUCAUAGACCAGAGUCUAGCAUAAUUGUUGUUAGAGAGGCUUCAUCCAUCAACUAAGGAAACAAACACAGAGAUCCGCAGCCAAACAUUAAGCAGAGCUCAGGGAAUCCUGCAGAAGAGGGGGUAGAAGGAUUGUAGAAUUGUAGAAACCAGAGGAAACAAGGACACUACAAGAAAACUCAGAGAAUCAACUAACCUGGACUCAUAGGCACUCACAAAGACUGAACCAAGAACCAGGGAGCCUGCGUGGAUCUGACUUAGGUCCUCUACAUAAUGUGUGGUAGUUAUGUAGCUUGGUGUUCUUGUGGAACCCCUAAUAGUGGGAAAGGGGGCUAUCUGAAUUUUUUUGCCUGCUUUUGUGACGUUUCCUCCCAGCAGGUCACCUUGUCCAGCCUUAGUACUAGGGGAAGUGCAUCGUCUUACUGCAACUUGAUAAGCUAUGUUUGGAAGGCCUGCUGUUUUUGAAGGGAAGUGGAGGGGGAUUGGUUGGGGAAAGAGUAGAGGAGACUACAGUUGGAAUAUAAUAUAUGACAAAAAAAUAAAUUAAUAAAAAACCUGGAAAAUAUGUUGAAGUGGAUAUGUAGAACUUGGAACCUAUACUGCUGAUGGAAAUGUAAACACGUAUUAGUAGCUAAACAAAGAGCUGACCCAGCAACUCUAUUCCUAGGCAUAAACCACCGCCCCUGAAAAGUACUUAUUAUUUUUUUACUAUUAUUCAUAGUAAGUGACUCAUAAUAGGAGAAAAACAAAAGAAAAAAAAACAGAAAUAAAAAAAUAAAGUACCUUGCAGCUUCUCGCUGGUUCUCUUAUCUUCAUCUCAGGGAAAGCCAGCUUCCAGGUCAUGAAGAAGCUCAAGCCCUUGCAUCUCACAGGGGUCCAUAUGACAUUGGAGCCUCCUGUCAGUAGCCAUGUGAGUGAACCCUAUUGGAAGCUGGUCCUCCAGCUGCAGCUGAGCACCUCCUGAGACCCUCAGCCACAGUACUCAGAGAACACUCUGGAACCUGAGACCAGGAUUGUGAGACAAUAAAUGUUCGUUUAAAGUCACUUGCUUUAAUUUAUUUAAUUUAUUACCUAGCAGUAGAUAACUGCUAUUUUCUUGCCCAGGUGAGUAUAGAAAAUGAUUAAAUAGAGCUUUUUGAUCCUUGCUUAGAAAAAAAAAUAUUCUUCGUUUGCAAGAAAAUUAAGUCUAAAUUUGGUGGAGAUAGAGCCUCCCCCCUCCAAAAUAAAUAAAUGAAUAAAUAAAUUAAUUAAUAAAUAAAAACUCUGGAAAAACCAUUGACCCAGAUCUUUGAGAAAACAGUGCUGGUUGGUUGACUUUUGUUAACUUGACACAAACUUACAUAUAUCUGAGAAACAGUGAUCUUGUUUUGAGACAAAGUCAAUGUAGUCCUGGCUGGUACUUGCUAUUUUAUUCCAGGUUGGCCUCAAACUUCCAGAGCUCUGCCCUCCUUUGACUCCUAAGUGCUGGGGUCAAACAUACGUACCACCAUGUCCAGAUUGGGAAGAGGUAAUCUUAAUUGAGAAAAUGUCUUUAUACAGUUAGUCUGUGGAUAUUUUCUUGAGUAAUGAUUGAUAUGGAAGGGCCCCACUCACUGGGCAGGGCCAUCUCUAGGCAGUUAGUCCUGGAUGAUACAAGAAAGCAGGCCACACAAGCCGUAAGGAGCAAGUCAGUAAGAAGCUGUGUUCCUCCGUGGCCUCUGAUUUUAGUUCAUGCCUAGAGUUCUUCCCCUGACUUCCCUCCAUGUUGAAAUAUAACCUGAGUGUUCUAAGAUAAAAUAAAUCCUUUCCUCCUCAAGUUAUUUUUAGUCAUGGUGUUUUAUCAUAGCAAUAAAAACCCUAACUAAGAUGGGAACCAGGCAAUGGUAGCUGAUAGCCUGUUUGGCUGAGGUCUUGCAGUGGGGACAGGUAUACCAGUGAUAGUGAGUGUUUAUUUUUUUUUUUCAGCGAUUUCCCCUUAGCUGUUGGGUGACUGAGCCUGAGAUUCAGCUUCUGAGACUGGUGGGCUACCAGAGGUGCUGCUGCCAACCCUCACUAGGAAUAGAUGGUUGCACAGAGAUAUAUUCAAUGAAGCCGAGGAAGGAAGAUUGUGUGAGGAGGUGAAGAUCCUGCCUCACAAAACCAAACCAAACAGGAGUGAGUGGAAAAGAUAAUACAGAUGUCCUAUAUUUCUAUCAAGAUAAUACAGAUUUCCUAUUAUUCUGUCACCACUUUGCCCUUUUGUUAUUUUGAGACAGGGUCCUUCUAUGCAGCUCAGCUGCCCUUGAUGUGAUGAUUCUCCUGCCUCAGCUUCCAGAGUGCUGGAAUAGCCGCUGUGCCACACAUCUGGCUUCCUUAUUGUUUUUUCCCCCAUUAUUAUCGUUAGCACCUGUGUUGGGAAUAAAAUGGAGGGCCUCGCGCAUGCCUGGCAACCACUUUCAGCCAUCCCUAGUCCCGUUUUUCCUCGUCUUUACAUCACACUGUGGCACAUUUGUCAAAGUGAAUGAGCCAGUACUAUACAUUUUAUUACCUGAAGUCUAUUUAUUUAGAAUCCCUUGGUUUUACUUUGUUUUUGUUUUAUAAGAGUAAGGCCCUGUCACCCAGCCUAGCCUGGAACUCCCAAUCCAGAUGCUUGAAUGCUGGGUUGUAGGCCUGUGUUAUCACUCAGCUCCGAGGUUUUUCCUUACAGUCUCCUCUCUUCCUAGGUCACUCCCCCAUGACCUCACAUAAUAAUAAUGCCUCAGACUUGUCUUGUCUGUGUCAGUCUCAGACUGCUCUUGUUUUUGCUUAUUUGUUUGUUUUACAGACUAGACAGUUUUGAGGAGUACCAGCCAGGUGUUUUGUAGGAGGUCCAUUCACUGGUGCCUAUUUUAAGUUUCUCUCAUGAUUACUGUGGGACGAUGGGUUCUGGAAGGCCAGAGGUAAAGUACAGUUGUUUUGACCACAGUGAGGGUGUAUACGUCAAGACCCAUCAUUGUUGGUGCCUGGUCGUUUCCUGCAGGCAAGUUCAAUUGGUCAUGCUCUUUACCCUGGCAUUCAGUUCUUCCUCUUAGCAAAAACUAAUUUCAGAGUCGAUAGUAUAGACUAUAUCAUAACCACCCAGCUUUUGUUUUGGAUCUUUGCCAACUGUUAAGUUUUCUCAUGGCCCUGGAUUGGACCCUCUUCUGAGACACUCUAACUACUGCUCCUCCAAUGGCCCUUCUGCCAGCCUUGAAGCAGUUCCUGAGAGAACGAUGUCACCAACCCCCUAAAAGCAGUUUGGCUGACUUAUAAAAGGGACUAAUGGACCAUGAACCGUCCAAUUUGUCCUUUGUCUUUCCACUCUGGACAUGGGUUUUGGGAUUCUUUGGUAUCAAUUAACCUCUCUGUCUCACCAGAUUAGACCAGCUUCACAUCCUUCAGGACCAGCUCAACUCCCUGCCUGCUGCAGUACUCCAAAGUUGCAACGGACAAGAUCUGAGGAUGGGAUCUGCUAAGGGUGGGAUCUGUGCCCUCCUUGGACAAUGCUGCUUCCAGGCCAACAGAGCCUAACUGAUUUGAAAUGGGACUAGACAAAAAUUCCUUCUGGUUUCCUCCCACUCUGAUUCCUCCCCAGAUCACCUCUUUCCUCCUUAUUAUCUUCAUACUAAUGUUUUUACCCAAUUAUUUAUUUAUUAUUUUUUUUAAAGAUCAUUUUUUUUUUUAUGUG